Molecule: ribosomal RNA, 312 nt
Filed under: uncultured Kordia sp.
Lineage: Bacteria; Pseudomonadati; Bacteroidota; Flavobacteriia; Flavobacteriales; Flavobacteriaceae
Description: bacterial SSU rRNA
Rfam family: Bacterial small subunit ribosomal RNA
Source: RNAcentral
GAUGAACGCUAGCGGCAGGCUUAACACAUGCAAGUCGGAGGGGUAACAGAGGUAGCUUGCUACUUGCUGACGACCGGCGCACGGGUGCGUAACGCGUAUGGAACCUACCUAAUACAGGGAGAUAGCCCAGAGAAAUUUGGAUUAAUACCCCAUAGUACUGUGAAUCCGCAUGGAUUUAUAGUUAAAGAUUUAUCGGUAUUAGAUGGUCAUGCGUUCUAUUAGUUAGUUGGUAAGGUAACGGCUUACCAAGACUGCGAUAGAUAGGGGCCCUGAGAGGGGGAUCCCCCACACUGGUACUGAGACACGGACCAG